RNAcentral lists this long non-coding RNA (19528 nucleotides) under Gallus gallus (chicken). The record is from RNAcentral. Lineage: Eukaryota; Metazoa; Chordata; Aves; Galliformes; Phasianidae.
AAAGUUGGGAAUAGGACUGCUUUGUAGGGGCUUCAGAAGGAUACAGGAAUGCAGAUAGAAGGGAGUCUGCAGUAAUACAGAAGAAUGGUCAAAGUAAUGUGGGUAUGAGCAAAGCUAGGCCAGACUUUAGGUCAGCCCUACUGAAUGGAGAAGAGCAGAAUAUCUCUGAACUGGGGACAAAAUCCAAAGUGAUACCGGAGUUAAAAUAAUCUGUAGUACUGUUAAUGGAAAGAAUCUGAGGUUGAUGGAGGUUUCAAGCUAACUGCUUGGGGUAUCGCAGUCCGAAUCUGUUUGAUUAUUCUUGCUACCUGUGUUUUUGUAGUUAGAUAAUUAGAAUUUUUAUGUGGACUUAAGUGUUUUGAUCUAGAAGUUCUUAGAAGGACCACAGCUGUCAUAUUUUAACAUGUUAAUAUCUCUAUUUUGAAAGAUACCCGUUUUCCUUUUAAAGUGAGAUUGAUAUACCAGCAUAUAGGCACUUGUUAUCUACAAGUUGGGUUCAUUUAUGGUCAAACAGUUGUAUUUAUUUGUCUCUCUAACCUGUUUGCUUUUUUUCAUCAACAGGAAGGGAAUUGGAAAUGCAUGACAAUCCCAGAGAACAAGAUCAUUUUAGUGACUCAUUUGCUUAUGCUAAAAUCUACUGUGAAUAGGUUCCAUGCUGACCGACAGGGCAUGACUUGCAUGUAAUUCUGGCUACUUGAAAAUUGUACCGAUUAACAUGAGGUCUGGCUUUGCGUUUGCCUGACAUGGUUCCACCAUGUUACCAGUGGUAACUUUCCCCACUACCGUUAGGAGCACUUAUGUACCACUUCUACGUCUCCUUCUUGUAUUCAAAAAUGUUCCAAGGGUGAGGCUAUGAAAAGCAAUACUGCUGUCUCUGUUGCUUCAUUUCUGUCCAACCACAACAAUUUUGCUCUUGAAUUUUAGAUCAAAACUGCAGCCAUAGGGAGUGCCAGGCCUGAGUGAUGUGAUGGACACACCCAGGGCGUAUGCUCAGGGAGUAUCAGGUGUUUAUAACUCCUACUCAUCAUGUUUCAUUGGUUUAUCUUAGAAGAGAAUAGUAUAUCCUAACUCAUCUGUUUUUACCCUUAGCUGCCUGAAAAGGAAAUGGCAAACAUCUUCUAGAAGUACAAAAUCUAGAAUUAUCAAUGGGGGGAAAAAAGACCAACACCCUGAGAAUUCUAACUGCAGUGGCACUCAGCUGAAUCUUAUUUAUACAGGGUGUGGUAUAGCUGCCAGCUAGGAGAGGAGAUGGGAUGAGGGAGAGAGGCGCAGCUGUGCAUACAUGAGCCAAAGCAAACAGCUGCUCAGGUGAUCCUGGUAGGGCUACAUGAGCCCUUAUACCAUACCAGUGGACCUCUGCUUAAUCGAGUGUGUGCCUGGGAUCUGUUGCAGCAUGGUAUCACUGACAUUGACUUUUUUCUUUCUUUCUUUCUUUUUUGAUAAAAGGUAACCUUAUUUAAGAGACAUGCAAACUUCUAUGUUUAUUAAGCAGUGAAGUGUGCUGCUCAUUUGGUCUGAUGUGGCUAGUGGAGAAAUCCACCAGAAGUGUCUCUAUUAGGCAUGCCGGGAGAGACUUAAGCGGAUAAGCGAAGAGAGAUUCCUUACUUCGUUUGUCAGUUAACAGUUAUUAUAAAAGAGCUCUUUUGCAUUACCAAAAUGAGUUAGAAAGUUUCAGCCUUGCAUGAGGGAUGUACCAUUCACUGAUGGCUUUUGCAGGGUGGUAUUUUCUUUGGAAUUCACUGUAGAUUUUUCAUUUCCAAUUUCUUUUAUUUGUUAUGAGGCUCGAGGAAAAAAGAAUAUUUGUAAAGGAAAAGCUGGGCAAUAUGCUGGAGAUGAUUAAAAACAAAAAACACAGCAAUAAAGCAAAACAGAAAAUCCCAAACAAGUAGAACCUAAUGAAAAGCUAACCUGUCAGCCUGUCUUAUUUGAAAAGGACACAGACUUGAAGUUUCUCAGACAGUUUUGUGUGUCUUUCCCCACCGCCACCCGAAUCGAAACUUCGUUUGGACGUGCAGCAUCUCCUUAUGCAUUAAUUGUAUGCACAAAGUGUCACUUUUUAACACUUUAUAGGCGUCAUAAAGGAUCAGCACGUACUUUUAUGAAAGCUUGGGCUUGCGACCUGACACCUAGUUUAUGUAACCUAGAUAUACCCUGCUUGGUACAGCAAAGAGCAACUUGAGACACUUCAAAAUGUUUCUGACUUGUAAAACCAUAUUCACAGCUUUUAAACCACAAAAAUUUGAAUCUCUUCCGGAUGAAAGUGAUAGACUUGAGCACAUCUGUAGCUUCUUAACGUCACCAAGCAUCUUUUUCUAAUUUUUCCUUAACUCUUUGUGGUGUAAUUGCUGUUUACUUGUUGGACAACAAAGUGAAGCAGACCGUCUGCUGCUGACUCUUUGCAGAAGAUUGCUGUGCUCUGAAAAUCACGUAGCGGGACAUUUGCAACAGGAUUUGCUAUAAAUGCUGUGAAGUAACCAAGAACAGCACAUUGCAUUUCUCCUACUUGGCGAUAGAGUGUGUUGAAAAUUUAUCUUUGAGUAAAAAACAGGUUUUUGCAUUCCUGGUGUAGGUUUAGAGAGGUAAAAUGCAAGAAAAAAGAAUGGUAGGUAUAUUUUAUGCUCAGUGCAUCUUAAAGAUAAUGUCUCCUGAUAAAAGCACUGAUUUGAAUCCUACUACAGAGCUUAUUCAUUCCUGCAGUCAACUUGUGCAGUCUCGUAGUGAAUACAGAAUUGGGAAACCACGGGAAUGUUUUUGUUUUAUCUAUAGUAGGUUGGUGCUGAGUGGUGAUUGUGUAUUCAGUGGUAGUGGUCAUGCAGAAACAACGUUGCACUACAGUUGCUGAUAAGUAUCCUUUCUUUAUUCCUUGCGCAUCCGUGCACGUGUGUUGCUGUUAAUAUGAAAUCACUAACUUGGUCACUGUGACAAAGAUACUUAUCUGCACGUAACUUCUGAGCUGCAUCUCUGGUGCCAGUUCUCAUUAGAUGGAUUAAAUUCAAUUAUAUUAGUACAAUGUAAGUAAUAUUGGAGAAAAGGGGAAAUAGCUUUUAGACUUACCAUGAAAAUACCUGAUUUCUAGCUAUAAAACAGCAACUGAUUUUUUUUCUUUGAGUAAAGGCUAAUUUUCAUGAGCAGAGUACUGAGAUGUUGUUGCAAAUUCCUGACACUCUGUAAGGCUUUUUGUUUGUUUGUUUUCCCUUGUGUAUAUGCAAAUUAUCUUGGACUGACCCAAAGCUACAUUGCUUUCCUUUUUCUAAAAGGAAAAAGCAAGUAGUUCUGUUUUAAAAGUAUUUUCUAUUUCAUACAGUUCAGCAGAAGUUUUAUUUACGGAGCUUUUUUGUUUGUUUGUUUUUGUGGGGUGUUUUUGGAGGGAGGUUGAUGUGUUUUUUACUUAGUGCCUGCUGACGUGUUCAAACCCCAUUCUGAUAAUUUUUUGGUCAGCUUUAAUAUUUAGUUUAAAUGAGUCAAGCUUGUGCAAGGGAAAUUGAUAAGCAGAUUAAUACUGCGGGACCGUAUUCUAUUUUGGAUGUUCUAUAGUAGCUCUUUUAGUGGUUGUUUGUCAAGGGUUAAGUACGUUGUUAGCUAAGAUUAUCAUAGGUGGGAAAUAACUCAAAUUUGUCUCACUGCUGGGAGCCCAGGUUUGAGAGCUGUUAACGCUUUCUGUGUUCUGUUCUGUAUUUAAGACAUGAAUAGGACCGCAAAGAUCAGCUGGCAAGCAGGACUCGUUGAGCCACUCACUUCCCUAAUUGCCAGGAGGGAAACCAUUUUUAUUUAAUUUUAAUCUGCCAUAAGCUGAGCGUGCAGUUCUUUGAGCCACAAAAGCUAAAAUCCUGCACCAGCCUUUAAUGUAUGUUCAUACAUAAAAGCUGUUUAAUUGGUUUUGUUUGCCUGUGUCAGAAAUUAAGUGUGAAGUCUCCUGCCUUAUCCCUUCUGAUUAGAUCUGCAAAUCCAAUCUUUUAUAGAGGGUAUGUUCUAAACGACUAUGAUUGCUGCUUUGGUUGCAUCUUUUAUGAAUGCUUUGUUAAAAGCAGGAGGGCUUAUUUUGGAUUUGGUUUUCACACAUGUGGUAAAUAUCUGUCCCUGCUUACAGUUUCACAAUUUGCUCCAAUUUAACCUGCUUUUUUCAGGCUUGUCCCCUUUUCUCUGAGCUGCAAGCACCUCUUAAGGUGUCAGCAUUAGCAUGCUACCAGUGGGAGGAAAAGUAAAACCAGGCACCUUAUUCAAAAGAAGCUCUUACAAAUAUGGUAGUGCACAAGUAUUGAAUCUCCAAACUGACAUCCCCUGUAAGUCUGGAUUGUUACUUUCCCUCGAACUUGGUUUACAGGUUUUUUCCUCUCUGUUUUUCUUGAAGUUUGUUUCCAAAUUCUCCUUGACUUUCUAUGCAUUAUCACCAUCAGUGGGUUGGUUGAUAGUGGCAUGAUACAUGCGUGGUAGACAUAGAUAUCCAUGCCUCUGUAUAUUUGUGUUGUACAAGUAUAAGUAAUUUUGUUAAACACCUUUGUUUGCCUUGCUGCAGAUGUGUAUAGCCACACAGGGUGGCGUGCCAUGUAAUGUGGGAUUCUUGUUACACCAAGUAAAGCGUAUGUCAAGAUGCAAGCAACUUUAUUUUUUGAACUACCUCUGCAUACUGGAGUACCCCAAUUAUCUCUGCAUUAGUAGAAACAAUAUUUCUGUUGACUUUCUUUGUCCAAAGGGGCUUUGAUGUAGUCUUACCUUAUACCUUCAGUUAUUAUAGACUUUCUAGAUCUGACUUCAGCCUGUGGCGCCUGCUAAGUCCUCCAAAUCCAGCAUUUGCUGCUAGGACUUUAUUUUGCUGUAGUUCAACAUAUUUUUCUGCUUAGCUUGUUGAGUAGAAGAGAUGUGGUAGAUCAGCUAACGUAAUCUUUUUUUUUUUUUGGAGUCUGGGAUUAGUUAAAUUAUCCAUGUUUUGUUCUCAGUACGGCAAAAGGAUGCAUUUUGAAUAGAUGUAUUCUUUGGAUUCCUGACUAAAGGUUAGAGUGACACAAUCAACCUGACGUUGACAAAUCAUGUGAAAUCUCACUUUUUGCUGGUACUUAGCCAUUUUCCCUCCUGUGACAGAAAUGCUUGUAUUAGUGAACAUAUUUGAAUGGAACUGAUCAGAUUGCAUGAGAUUUCAGAUAAUUGCAUUUUCCUUCUUUCCCUUCUGCAAAAGAGAAAACAGGUGGUAUAAGUGAGCCACUGCAGUGUCUUGCUUUUACCUCCAAAACCAAUUAUUUAUUAUUGAAUGUUUGUUUUAUCCUCUAAAGGAAGGCAGCAUUCUGCUUAUUUGUACUUUAGUAAAUUUAGUGAAACUAGAAAUAAGUGUGAAUUUAAGUCAGUGUAAUGUAGAUUUAGUUAGAAUUAAGAAUUGGGGAAAAGCUCCUUUUUAUAAAUAAUUUAUUUGGAUAAUGAGAAACUAGAGUAACGUAGAAAGGAAUUUGCUUUUGUCUAUCAGGUGAACUGGCAGAUGAUGAACCCACAGUUUGUAUUAAGAAUAUGACCCAAGCUCUGAGGUGUUCUCGCUUCUGUAAUCAAAGCUCUGCAAGCCAUCGGUACUGCAGUUGUGCCUGGUGCCCCAAGGAAUUCAGACUCCUGUCGUGGUGGGAACUGCAAGGAGGAGUGUUUGGAGCACCAGGAGAAGUAGCCUGAGAAAUCCUGUGUAGAGUUAGUUCUGUCCUUUAUUUGAGAAUAUAUUAAUGUUUUACUUGGUCGCAUUCUUCAGUCUGCAAAUAGCUGCUUUCACCUGCUUUUCAGAGAGGCCAUCUGAGACUCAAAGCUUUUGUCAAACUGGGUUUUAUUAGUCUUAGUUUUCCUCAUUUGAAUUAUUUUCCUUCUCUUCUAUUUCCUUAGGAGUUGAUAAUUGUAGAAAUAUGUGUCAUAAAUAGACUGCAAUUUAAACCAUCAUAUAUAAAUAAAUUGAUUUCCUAGGAAAAUCCUAUUUAAUGCAUAAGGACACACUCCAACUGUUGGGAUAUACCACUUUCCUAUUCCAAGUGAUGACUCGACUAAGAAAAGAACCACAAACCGAUGCUGUAGACAUCUGAGUACCUUCCAGUGGAAGUUCUCCUCCCUAAAUAUUUGAAAAGGGAAUAGUGUGGUUACCACGAAUGACUCUGGUAGCAGUGGCCACGUGAACUACAGGACUGUAAAUGAGCUGUGAAUGAGAUGUCUAUUGCACCUGAAAUGCAAACCAGUAUCCACCUCUUCUAGACUGACAAGUCAGCAUCUUGUGUGCAUGCAUGCGCAUAUAUAUAUAUAUAUAUAUGAAUAUGUAUGUAUGUGUGUGUAUAUGUGUGUGUGUGUAUGUAUAUAUAUAUAUACACACGUAUGUGGGUUUCGAAAUGCAAGCAAAAGAUAUCUGAAAGAAACAUCUUUCUUCCAGAACUGUGAAACUGGAUAACUCUUCUUCUAUAAGAAGCACCAAGUACUACACUUCCAGCACCUCAGCUGAAGCUGCAGCUUCUGUCUCAGCAUGAAGGCCAGACUUUCACCUAACAGUAUGCUGGGAGAUUGCACUUACAUUUCUUUAGCAAAGUUUGCAUGGAUUUAAGAAGUUAAUCUGGUAUUUUCUUAUGCUCUGUACAGGUCAUUACUGCUGACUACCUGAUUUUGUUGCCUUUAAAGUGGAACAAAACAAAUGCUGUUUCAUCAUUAAGCACUGGAUAUGAAACAUUAGGAAACAGGUGUUGAAAGUAUAAACAGCAAAAUAGGAGAAACUUAAAUUGGUGGUCAGCGCUUCUGUUUUAUAUGUGCUAUAGUCUUUGCAUAUAAGAUAAUCCAGAAUGAUUAAAAAAAAAAAGUCUUUUUUUUAAGUUUCUACCGCAGUUGUGAGAUUUUUACUAUCUUUAGUGUCCUGUUUUUGUGUAGAUGACUUUAAGAUAGCUGUAAUCUUUCAGGCACUGGAAUGGCCUGCCCAGGGAGGCGGUGGAGUCGCUGUUCCUGGCAGUGUUCAAGAGGCGUCUGGAUGAGGAGCUACGAGAUAUGGCUUAGUGGUUUGUGGUAGUAAUGGUAGUGGGAGGACAGUUGGACUAGAUGAUCUUGUAGGUCCUUUCCAACCUUGUGAUUCUAUGAUUCUAUAUGCCCCAUAGUGUUAUCCUUAUCCUUCAGUCCUUGCCUGUUUUCUCAAAUCUGGAAAAUCUACUGGGAUGAGAUGCUCUGAACACCCAACCUUAGAAUAAGGUAAGGCAAGAGUCUGAAGGGUAUUUGCUGAGACCUUCUGAAUUUAAUGACUACGUAUUCUUUGGUAAGCUAUUUUUCAUGUAAGCUGCACUUUCAGAUUUUACCAUUUAACUGCAUCUAGUUAAUAAAUAUGGGAUUUUCUUCAUUUGUGUAGUGUUUGUGGUGCUCUGAUGUGUCUUUUUUUUUCUCCCUUCUGGAGCACCAAUAAUUCACUUGACUAAACCUGUCGUAUUCUUUUGAUACAUGUGACAGUCACGUGUUUUCUAAUGUGUCACUUGUCAGUGUAAGCGGUAUUUCUUUCUGAUGUAAGCCCUCUAUUGAGUAUACUUGCAGAAAUGCUUUAAAAUGCUUAUUAAAACCAAUCCUUUAUUACUUUAACUUUGAAGUAUGAAAACAAUUCUUUCUUGCCAUUUUUUUUUUUAGUUUUGCUUUCUGCAUGUCCGAUUUCCUACAUCUGUUGUUCCCUUCAAGUGCAUAGAUGAGGAUUGAACUGUAUGUGUAUCUGUUUAUUUUGAUUUCUGGAACUAAUUCUGCAAUUCUGUUUCACUGAUAAAGUGGAUCUGCUGCUUAGGUGGCCUUCCAUAUCUUUGUUUCUGCAGCAACUGUGCUCUUAAUUGUUUAUAUUUUAAAGCCUAAAAUCUUCCCAUUAAUUUGCUUUCCUUUGUACGCUAAAGUAACUCUUUUAAAGAUGUAACUUCUGUGGAUUGAGAGUUAGUGAUGUAUUCCUGAUGCUGUGGCACUGACGAGAUGUGACUUAUUUGGAAACUUUCUUUUCUUUCAAGAGCUUUGUGUUGUCACGUAGGAGCCUGCAUGUCACUUUCCUGUUUCAUCUGUCUGUUGUUGAUGAAAGCAGAACAUGUUAAACUCCUGAGAAGCAAAUUGAAAUUCAUUGACAUCAUAUGUAUUCCUUCCCACCACCCCAUACAGUAUCAAGUCACUGCAUACCAUUAUAAAUUUAUGACCUCUUCAGGACUCAGUCGUCAUUUGAUAAGAUCUGCUUUUGUCUACAGGGAAAUUACCAGUAUUUCAAUCAGUAAGGAUGAUACCCAGUGAGAAGCAUGGUAGUUAUCCUUACUAGGUCACAGACAAUUAAAAAUCAGUAAUUCUUGUUUGAUUUCCCUUGUUUUAAAAACACAAAUUUGUUCCCUAGAGCAAAGUAUGUUAGAUAUUUAUAGUUAGCAUGCCUUGUACAUAGGACAGUUAUGCUUAUAAUCCAACUGAAACCCCUUUGAGAGAAUGUCUAUAGUAGACUCUUAAAACUGGAAACAUAAUCAAAGUGGAACAGAAAAAUACUUUGAGAGUCACUGGACAUAUGGCCUGUAUAAUUUCUUCAUGACUUGGUAUAUGUGGCUGAAGGUUUUGGGGAAGUGUGUUAAUAAAAUAAUAGAAUGAACAAAAGAAAUACUUUAAAGGGAGUUUUAAAUUCUCUUAAAAGUGCGUCUUUAGUAGACAGCCUUACGGGCAGUCACUCUGUGAAUUGUCAGCUCAAGGAUUAGUGACUCUCAGUUCAAGUAAGUUUAAAAAAAAAAGAGAAAAUGGAAAAAAGGAAACAGGUUACAUUCUCCCUAACCUAAUAAAUGCCUACGUACUCUGUAUAACCAGUUCUACCUCCUGAACUUUUGACUACUGAUGUCUGUGUUAGCUGUGUUUAAUGUGGGUCAAAGCCUUCAUCUGUGUUAGAUAUACUUUUACUAGGCUUUGGUGUCAUGAUUGUUGGAUGUUUUGGAUUAGACCCUGUUGUACAUGUUGAGGUAAUAGAAGAGGAUCUUGUUUGAAAAUCCUACUUUGAUUUCCUUGUUUAGGUGUUGUGGACAUAACUGAAUAGGAACAGAAGCUUGAGGAAAAUGACUUGUCGAGAUGUAGGCAAUUAAUAUUGUGCAUCCUGAACAAUGUUAAUCGAGCACGAGUGGACCUGAGUUACUGCAGAAAAUUGUGGUCUUCUAAUCUGUUGCACUUCCCCAUCUACUCUCUUGCUUGCAGAGGCACUCUGGUAGCUAUUCAGUGAACUGGCUGAAAAUUCAUUUUCAUCAGUGUUAACCUACUAAGGAAGAAAUAUCACCUUCCAGUUGCCUCAGUGUUCUUAAUCUGGUUCACCACAUCACCAAGUGACUCUUAGUCAGAAAGGGCUGAGAGUGGGAAAAGACAGGACAACGUUCCUCUGCAGCUCCCGCUUGUUCCAGACGUUAAAGUAUGCAUGGAAUUAGACUGGAACAGACAGUUUGACCCUGAAGGGCAAAGCUAGAGUUUCCAGUAUCACUUAGAUGUUUGUGUCCAAGUGCUUUUUUUAGGCAAGUGUAUCCUUUGGGGCAUUCAGACCUCAGUGUUUUAUUGUUUUUUUUUUUUUUUUUUUAAAAAAAAAAAGCACUAGAUUUAUUUUUAGAAGUUCAGACUCUUAGGAAUGUGACAAUAUCACAUGAGUAGGCCAGUUACUGGAGAAAGAGCCAUACACACUGCAAAAUAUGGAAUAAUGAGGCUAGGAGCCUGUGCUGUCGCCAUUCAGUUUAACAUAGCUGGAAAUAUAAGAAAGUAAGCAAAUUAUUUGAUGAGUUAGCAGUGAACCUGGCUGUAACAAUUUUACAGAAGCAAGGGCAGCCAACAGCUUGUCAAUUUGAUGGGUGGCCCCCAAAGUUUUUUUUUUAAAAGGAAAUCACUCAAAUCUAUUGCUUUCGUAGGAUUUACCAGCGUGUAUCAGUUCUCAGCUACUGGCCUGGGAACCACCAGUGGAAUGUAAAGCCUGUCUAUCAUCUGUAAACUGAAGUAUUUUCAAUAACCGUGCAAUUCAGCAGCAGAAGAGGAGUAAUUAAAUGUCUUAUAAAAUGCUGAAGAAAACAAUUAGCAAGCAGAAAAGUUGGAGAUCAAUGUAGAAGUAUCUUCUCAGUGGUCCCCGGACUAGGCAACAUGACAGUUAUCUCCCUAAUUUCUCAUAAGUGAGGCUACCCUGACUGACUUCAGUUACAAACAUCCUUGCCUGUGCUGCUGCAUCCUGCUGUGCAGAACUCGCAGUGUGUGCACUCAUGGAGUUAGGGCUGUAUUGGACCAGAGAGAUUAUCGUGUUACAAAGGAGAAAUGAAAUAAAGAUCUUACCCACGUCCUGGGCUCACAGAAGGGCUCCAAGAGGAAGGAUCUCCAGCCCUUAAAUGGGGUCUAGGAGGGGUGCAGCCAGGCUCCACCCCUUCUGGUCACUCAGGUGAAAUUGCAUUCACCUGUGCCCCUGCAGCUGACUCAACACUCGCCUCAGGUGGUCAAUCAGAGGUUCAGGCCGUGAUUCAACUGUUCCCAUACACCUAAACAGAAAUGAUUCUCUUAUCUCACAUGUGAGAAUAAAAUAUGAUACAAACUAUUCUGUGACUGAGGAAAGAUAUCUGAGUGGUGCAUAGUGAGUCAACACAUCACAAGUCCAUUUUUCCAUGUCUGUAUGGGAAAGGAGGGAGGGAAAGUGAUGUUUUGAGUAGGAGGCUUCUUUCGGAUUUUUCUCUUCAUUUUAGGUGAAGUCAGUGUUCUGCAUUUGUUAAUGGCAAAAAUCAGUUCAGGAACUGGUUCUAAUUUAAUGAAGCCUUUAUGUAAUUGAUUUUUUUCUUCUAGUACAGAAUAUUGUUGCAAGAAUUCUUUCCUUAAACUUUUUAAUUAAGUAGAAAUAAUUACCAAUAUGUAGUCAUAUUUUUGAUAAAAUACUUGGUGUAUUCUUCCAUGUGACUUGAGUUCUAUAGAGUUCCCCUGUAAUGCUCGGAAUACAAAUAUUUCCAGAACACCAGUGAUUGCUUUUUAGUUCAGAUAACUUACUGUAAGGUAGUUGGUUAAGAGGAGCAUAAGAACAAACAUAGGGGGGUCAGGCUGUGCAUCCAUUUACCUUAGCAACCUUCUUUAGAUCAUCAUGCUCACUCAGCAUCAGGUGCUUAGAGAAGAACAUGAGAGCAGAGAAAGCAUACAGUGAUUGGUCUUUACCACCUUAUUUGAUCUAACUUUCAGCAGACUCUUGAAUCAGUGGAAACAUAUGUAUAUAACAUGCUUUAGUAGAUUAUGCUUUUGUUGAUUCAUGUAGCAAGAAAUGUUUCUAGAGUCUAGUAAUACUCUAUUCUGUGUGGCUUGUACAGAUACUGUCAUUGUUUUGAAAAUUGUAUCUAUUAUUUGCUGCCCAACUGUACUGUUAGGAGAAAAAGCAAAUGAUGAUUUCCUAUGCCUCUUUUCCAUGUUUUCCGUGAUUUUAUAGACCUUCUGUUUCUUAUCAGCUGUCUGCUUCAGAGCAAAGGGCUCUUAAUCCCUGGCAGAUACUGAAAGAACUUCCUGCUUGCCUGUUCCUGUUUCCUUCGCUGUCAUAAAUGUUCAUACAGUCACACAAAGACAGACUGAGGAAACAAUCCAUGUAAAAAAUGCUGUUCCCCAUCUGUAUGUACUUCUGACAGUUCAGCUCAGCCAGCCCAUCCCACUGUGUGGUGCAUGGGCAUGUGAUGGCAGGAACAGGAAUAAACUGUGGAGACCUCCUUAGCUAUGUGGGCUUCAGCCCUGUCUGCUCUCUGAAAACUUCUUGGUGUUGUUCUCUCACCUGGUAUUAAGUGAAGGUUGUUUGCUUUGUCAUUGAUUAUACUCUUAAAAACAAGAACAACAACAAAAAGCAACAGAACAUGCAUAGCGAAAUUGUUUCAAAGCAGUAGACCAAACCAUAAAGGUAAAUUGGUCUUACGCUGCAACUUUUUCUUUAGUGUUGAUGCUAGUUCAGUCUUUUUCCUAUCAAACUGUCAAAUUCUCAUUAAAUGUUAGGAAUACAUCACCUCUGAGACUUUAGAGUCUCAUCCAACUUGGUCAAAACUGAUGUAUGGUUAAUUGGUGUAAUUUAUUUGGAGAGGAACGGUAGCUACCAUGACUGCAGAAGUCUGACUUGCUUAGGAAAACUUGGAGGGGGAUGGGAGGAGAUGAAUUCUUUAUUUAAAAGUCAGAUGGCUUGUUUGGAGGAAUCUUCAUGUGCUUUUUAUUUCCCUUUCCUGUCUAUGUUGUUUUCCUUGGUUUUAGCAGUAUGAUGAUCUCUUCAGAUCAUACUGAAAAUUGCCUCUAACAUUUAUUUCUAAACAUGCUGAUUUCUUCUGCUUCUAUAAAUUUCACUGUACAGCUGGAAUAGCUGUGCUCUGCUAGCUCCACAUAAAACAGAAAUGCAUUUACUAGUUCCAUAACGUUUAUGCUUCUGGAGCUAAGUCAUCUUUGCAUUUGGUGGAGCUUACAGAGGGCUGUUUUCUCAGUAGAGAGACUGGGGAAAAUACAUAAUGCAAAAUCUUCAGGAAUAUUAUUUCUAGUAAGCCACGAAUACCAGAUGGCUUUGAAACCUAUUUAGUUAUCUGUUUUUGUUAAUCUUGCUUUGCUUGCUUGAGACCUCCAAACUUAUUUUCCCCACCUGCAGAUAAAUAUAGGGUCAUAGGAAUCACUGUUUUGGGUCAGGCCAUCUGUUCUUUAAUUAGGACUUGUAACAGAUACUUAGGAUGACUAUGCACAAGAACCUACAGUAGGCUGUCAUGAUAAUAAUAUAUUAAAUUAUAAUAUUAUAUUAAAUUAUAAUAAAUAGGGAAUCUCUCCCUGGGAUCCUGUUAGUUCAGCUUCUGUUGUAAAGCUCAAAGACACUUGUAUCUUUUCCAGGUCUUUAUUUUUAAAUAUUUUCUACUGCGAUGGCAUUUUAUCUUUUGUUCUCUCCUUUAAUGCGAGCAAGCAUUCAGCUUUGCAGUCCUCUAUCCCUCAGCAGUGAGUUCCCUGGGUUAACAUAUGGAGAAGUACCUGUUUAGUUAAUGGUGAAGUUGUUGACUGUCAAUUUAGUUGAACACCUUCUCUGGCUCUGACAGUAUUCCGGAAAGGUAACUCUUCAUCUACCUUUCCUGUGCCAUUUUCUUGGGAAAAUAACUUUAUUUUUGCUGCUUUCUCCCUGCAUGCUGCUACUUCUGUGCUUCUUGUUGUUCUUGGUUCCUAUCUCUGAAAAGCUUUCAGCUGAGCUGCAGUAACUGGAUGGUUCAAAUUUCCCACCAUGCUUCGGUUGAGAAAUCAUUGUUCUUGUCUAUAAGGUAAAAUUUUUCUUAUGCUGCUGAAGGUGUGAAUUCACAGAAAGUACUGUUAGUAUUUUAGGUUUUAUUUGAGGAAGAUAUGUUGUGUUGUAGUAGUAAAGAUGGUUUUGCAAGGGAGGUGUCUAAAUCUGCUACAGUGCUACAGCAAAGUGAAGGGUUCUUAAGGUGCAUGUUUUCAAAGCUGCUUUGAGAGACCAUGGCACUAAACUAAAAGGUGGGGAGAGUUCCUUUUCAGGGCUGGGGGUGUGCCUGUGUUUCUUUUGGCAGUUUUAAAUCCAGAUCGAGAUGCAGCACCAAUGUUAACAUCUUAACAGCAGCUUCCAAGCUAGCGGUUGUGGGCAUGGACCCCCAAAAAACUUAAUGUGCUGGGCUUUUUUUUUGUAUCCUAUACUGGGCUUUUUUUUGUAUCCUAUGCUGAUCUGAAAUAAAAUUCAGUGCAAUUGAUGUAGAAACCAGUUGAUGUAGAUAAAUACUGUAAUUUUAAAUACCUGAGCAAAAGGGAUCUUUAGCCGUCUUUGUUUUUGCCUUUUGCUUUUUUUCGAUGGAGCCUUUUUGUCUGUGGAGUACUGUUUGUGAAGUAUCACCCUCCUUAUAUCACUUAUAUUUUUCUAUAUAGAUUCUUAGAAAACUCAAACUUCAAGGUGAGUGUAAGUUAGUAGCUGAAGGAAUCAAUAGGCUUUGAGUGAAUGGACGUGAAGGGAAAUACGAAAAUUGUGAGGAGGAGGGACAGAUUGAUGUUGGAUACGUUAAUUGAAAAAUGAGGUGUUGAACCUUAUCCUGACUAGCAAAGAAAUGCACUUCUUUUUCUAACCUGCUUAUAAGCAUUAGAGCCGGAAGCCUCUUUUAUGUUGUGCUCUGGUUUCCAAGGAGAUGUGAGAUAUUUCUGAGAAACUGAGAAAUCAUGGAAAGAGGAAUUUUAAAUUGCAUGUCAAACCACAAAAAAUGCAGUGGCAGGGAAGAUUUGCAAUAUGAAGUAUUUUAAGGGUAGAGCUUAGAUCCUAUAUAGCUGAAAUACUUUUUCACCAGUGGUAGUGAUUAGCGUUUAACUGAGAGCUAAAACAGUUUGAUAAACAGCAUUCUUUUCAUUUUUAACUGCUUGGAGAGAAGACUAAGUGCCAAAGAUAAAUAAAUGGUAUUUAUCCUGUCUGGAAAAAUUCUUUAUUCAGAAUUAAAAGCCCUAAAAUCUUACUUUAAAAAAAAAAAAAAAAGAGAUGGUUGAAAAAUGCUGGAGAUAUAGUUCUUGAAAUAGCAUUUGGCUUGAGAGUGUUGAAUGGAUAGGUACUACAGACAGAGCAGUUCAGGAAUGUACUGUGUCUCGGAUGCUAGAAGCUACUUUAGAUUAUACAAAGUGUUUAAGUCAACUUCUUGAGCAAACUGGAAACUUUCACUUGACAACAGCAUGUGUGUAGCAUCCAACGUUUUUGCAAGCAAGAGAUAAGGCACACUGUGAUAAAACCUACUCAAAUGCUGGCUUAUGCUUUGGAGCUCUGGGUAGCUCCAGUAGGUCCUAUGAAGCCGAAAGAGUGGACUAAUUUUGCUAAAUAUAUACAUGUGCCGUAUUCUCUGAGAGAACUUGCAAAUUAAUAACCAAGAGAUGGACUUCUUUGUGCUGCCUUGACACUCGUCAUGUUCUAGAAUAUUUUAGUGCAGUGUUGCGAAGAUGUGAUUCUGCAGCAGACUUUCCGACACAAGGAGAGACUGGGUAGCAUCUGUGCUUACGUACUGCAAACUAUAUGCUUUGUGCUGUAUGUUAUAUAUAGCCUUAAGAUUUGUCAUUGCUGUAGAUGCAAUAUGGUUCCCCUGGCUUUAUUUCUGUUUCAUCUGUUAAUGUGAAUCAUGUCUUCACUUGUGUACUCACGUUGUCACUAAGUAGGCUGAUCAGCAUCUUCAUCGCUCUUGUAUUAUUUCUGCAUCUCAGGUGUGGCUAGCAGGCUGGUAGGGCAUGUAGCAAGCAAUCUGGGAGAGUCUGUCUGAACCUCUGAAAGUUCAUUGGGAUUGGUAAGUGGAAACUGCAAAUGCUGUCAUUUGGAGUAGAAGUCAAGCUGUAAGUCUGGGGGAUUGCAGGCUUUUAGGUAGUAUUGCUGGGAAAAACUUUGGCUUCAGUCGAAGUGUAAGUAAGGUGGUAAAUCAGUCAAGAAAGUACUGUGUGUAUUGAAGCCUUCUCUCCCCCAGUUCUCCUCACUUGGGGGAGGGGGCCAACGUUGGCAUUGUUUGCUCUCCAGCUACCCGUAGUUCUGUUUCUUGUUUAUUUGAUAAAUUAAUAAAGCAGGCAAUAAAAUAAAAGGCAGAGAUGCACGAGUUAGUAAAAUAAAUACAUAAAAUUUAUAAAAAUGUAUUUUUAGAAUGCAAGAAAAGUAUUUUGUUUGUGUUGGUGAAAAUGUUCGUGAUAUUGUAUUGGAAAGUUGUUUGGGGAAAAUAAUACAAGUCCACAAAAAGAAAUAAAAAGCCAUAAUAAAUUGCAGAGCUUUUGCGUGUACAGGUGAAGGAUGGGUUAUUGAUGCAGAAAAGACAUCUUUACUGGUUGCAUAUGACUGCAGUUCUCACUUUACACAUGCUUCUUUUUAAAGCAUCAGGCCUCUGAGCUACAAAAUGAUGUGGGUUUUACCUUUCCUUGAACGACAUGAUAGUAGAAAAAUAGCAGAAAACUUGGUUGUUUCCCACAACUGCACUUCCUAUUUCUGCUCAUAAAUGAGUUGAUUUUGACUUUGAAUAUGUAUAAAUGGUGAAAGUAGAGGAAGUAAUACAGGGGCCAAGUGGAGAAGAGUAUCUUUUUUUUCUGUUGGUGUUGGCACCUGGGUUACGUAGGGCACAACGGGCUCUCGUGCCUCAGUCAGCACUUCAGCUGUGCCGCCUUCUUCCAGGCCUUCCCUGAAGACAGCAAAGUGAAGAUUAUUUAAUAAGCAAGGUUCCAGUGAAACCUCAAAGAUGAGGGGAAUUCCAAAAGGAAAAUAAAAAACUCAUCUGUCAGGAUGGAUUCUCCGGCUGUCAUUCAGAGCAGAAAGCUGCAGAAUGCUUGUGGCCAGCUACAUGAAUGUGAGCGUGUGAAACUUUUCCACCCCCUCGCGUGCGUAACAGAACAUGCUUAGAUGAGAAUGGUUUAGGCAGGCCACAGUUAGUUAACGUACACUUUGUGUUUAAAACUUUUUUGAAAGAAAAUAGUUGUUUUUUUAAAUCAGUUUUAUUCUGAAGGACUUAGGAAGUUUUUACAGUGCUGAGGCGUUGCCUCUUCAGUUGUCUCCUAUGUGAAACUGUCAUCAGGUUUGUUUAGAAAUAUGAUUUUGCUGCUGUAAACAUUUAAUUUGUCAAAGCACGUGGGAAUGGCCCUUCUUAAAUGCAGAAUCUUUUUAGUAAUUUUAUCCUUGAAGACUAAUGAGUAGGAUAUCUCAAAGCACACGGAUCUUGUCCAAGGAAGGGUCUUCACUGCAGUGUGUGCUUCGAUGUAAAGUCAAAGGAACUACUGUCUGCAUUAGAGUUAGCAAUGAAAAUAGUCAUCACAAUUCUGCAUUUUUAUUUAUUUAUUUAUUUAUUUUGCUUUAGAAACCAAUAUUCUGAACUUGACAGAGAUUUUGCAGGAAGAAGUGGCCAUCUAAGGAACUAACUUAGGAUUUAUAUGAAAGUUGUCUAAACAGCUUCCAGCUAAUUGCGUGCUGCAGUUCACACAGCACUGUUCUCUUUGGGUCUCGCUUCCAGCAGCACCCCGGAGCCACGCUGCAGCCCUUGUUCUGCAUUGGACACAUCUGCUCAUUUUCUCUUCCCCCUCGUCAGCUGCUGCCAGUGUGGAGUUGGAUAAGGUGUCAGUUUCAGUUUGUCUUAAUGAAGCCAUCCAUUAAAUGCAUUCUUCAAAUCCAGACGAGUCUGUCUGUUGUUCUCUGCAGGAGUUUGGCUCGGUGAGGCAGGAUUGCUGGCACUGCCACACAGCCAGGCACUGCGACACCCAGAGCUGGUCUGAGUUGGUCAAGCUUUGCUUAUUUAGCAGAGCCUUUAUAGGUACAACUUUAAUAAAUACCAGGGAGUAAAUAUCUUUUUUUUUUUUUGUCUCCAGAAGGAUUUGAGGGAAAACUAGCCAUUUUUUUUUCUUUGUCCCCAUUGAGUGGUGUUUGGGCAGUUUUGCAUGUAGUGAUCAUUCUGUCAUUGAAAUCCUCCUUAUCUCUUGCAAAAGUCCACUUUGAAAGGGCAACAAAUCGGUUGUUGGAUUCCUGUUCUCACACACUGGGAAACAGAAAUCCUUAGCUGGGGUGCUUCAUAAGCUUUCCUGCUUACAGUAAGGUCUUUGAGGCUGGCCUUUACUAGACAUUGGCUUUGAAAAGAAAAUACUGAUGAGUGAUGAGAAGAAAUGUACCUGCCUGUAGAAAAACAUGUUAUGUGAAGUAAUAGGGCGCUAUAGUACAACAGGAAUAUGCGGUGAUGUGGGCUAACGUGUACAAAAGUACUGGUGAAACAGCAUUGCUUUCUUAAUUAAGGGACAUUUUUCCCUCGGAGAUCUUAAAGGUGGAGUGACUGCAGUGAGACAUCUGCACCUGCCUUUUCUCCUUGCCAACCUCCUUGAGGCUAUUCAUUACUGCGCUGUUAGGGAGUCACCUUUAUGGCGCUCCAUGCAUAGCAUUACCUGUAGUGUUUGAAUUAUCAUUCAGUUUGUGAAAUGAGAACCUCGCCGAAGCCUUUGGAACUAAUUAAAUGCCAUCCUCCUGGGAGCUGUCCUCCGUAAGCAGGAACAACAGAAGCAUGGUGCUGUGCUGAGCCCUUGAGAGGCUGAAGCGUUUCCCCAGCUGCUGCUUCUGCCUGGGCUGACGACUUGUAGCCAUUUUAUCACUCACAUUUACAUGGCAGAGCUCUAAGCAGAAACCUCAGGCCGCACUACUGCUUAAUGUAUAAUAAAUAAUAUUUGCUAUCUUUAAAAGGCUAAAUGAAAUGUGCAUUCUGUGCUUUUAACAAGAGGUUCUGUAAACAUUUUAUACAGCUUCAAAACCCAUCUAAUCUUUAAUGGGUUGUUAAGAGAUCUCAUUAAUAAAAUGUAUUUUCUUACUAAUGCCGUCACCAGCAGAUUUAAGUAAAAAUGCUGUGGCUGAAAGCUGUUGAACAAUUUCCUAAUGGAGCGCUGUUGAGAAUAAACCAAAAGUGCUGUAGAAGCAGUGUUUGACAGUUGGAGGAGGCCAAAGGAAAUUUGUUAGUGAUGCCAAAUCUGGAAGGUGACUGUAUGCAGAUCAGGACCUGGUGGGGAUCAGGGAGCCUUUUGCUGCUCAUUCGAGUCGUCUGCUUCCUGAGAAGUUAAUCUGAUGCUUCUGACUUCUUACAGCUGCUUGACCUGUGAGAGCUAAUUUUAGCUGCUUUAUGGUAUACAACAGGCAUGUCACAUAUUACUCUCUUUUUUUUCUUCUUCUUCUUAUAUUUAUGGCAGAAUUAGGGAAGCAUUUCACUGAAUUCUAACUAAUUCUCUGAACAAAUAAAAUACUACGAAACAAAAAACAGUUUUAUUUUCCUAGUUUUUUUUCCCUUGGCUAUUUAGCUUUCAUCAGUGUGCUGUUUGCCAUCAGUCCUCCAUUCAGUACAGUGUCUUUCAGUUGCUAAUAUGAAUGGACAGUGGAGAAGAUAUUUCCGUGGCUCUGUAUCUAUUCCUUCCUAUACUUGAAGAGUGGUGUUAAGAUCUGUGUCCUCAACGAAACUUUGAAAAAGUGACUGAGAUUAUUGCUUCUCUGUAGGGAAAUGAUGUUUUCAUCUUCUGCUUUUAGCUCAGUGUUAUGCUGCUGUAAGGAUUGCUCGCUGUUAUCCCUGUGGGUUGCUCUGGUGAAAGUGUGUUUGUAGGACAGGCCCACAAACUUUUAAGUGUGUCUUAAAGGAAUUGCUGAGAGUGUGUUUCCAGUCCCUUUCAAAGAUACAGCGUGCUUCAUCCACAAGCAUUCAGAGUUUGAAACCAUAGAUUCAAACAAACAAAAUGCCCUUCUGUAAAGUGGGUAACAUCUAUUAAUGAAUGCAUGUGCAGUGUCACAGUGUUAAGGAGAUCAAUUCCACUAGAUGCUCAGCUGUCUCUUGGCCUCCAGCUGCUGCUUUCCCUACGCUUCACACCUAAAUUGCAUGAAAAGUAUUUGUGGCAGUAGGGAAGGUGGAGUUAGGUACAUUUGAGGCAUCUUCCACUAAAAUAAGUAGAUAUUUCUUGUGCACUCUUCAGAAUAGUUUAAUCUGAGUGCAUUUUGAAAUUGCACUGUAAUAUUAAAAGAAAAGCAGUACUUACAAUCAGAAACUCCAUCCACUUCUUUUUAUCUACCACGUAAUUUCUUCUGGCAUAUCUUCUUAUGCAGUGUUUUGUUGGUUUUUUUUUUUUU